This 559-nucleotide ribosomal RNA is filed under the name bacterium tet-w-9. Its description in RNAcentral is "bacterial SSU rRNA". It matches the Rfam family "Bacterial small subunit ribosomal RNA", at positions 49 to 610 of the family's 1533-position model. The record is from RNAcentral.
CUACACAUGCAGUCGAGGGGUAUAGGUUUUCGGACCUAGAGACCGGCGCACGGGUGCGUAACGCGUAUGCAAUCUACCUUUCACAGAGGGAUAGCCCAGAGAAAUUUGGAUUAAUACCUCAUAGUAUAGCAGUUUCGCAUGAAACCACUAUUAAAGUUCCAACGGUGAAAGAUGAGCAUGCGUCCCAUUAGCUAGAUGGUAAGGUAACGGCUUACCAUGGCUACGAUGGGUAGGGGUCCUGAGAGGGAGAUCCCCCACACUGGUACUGAGACACGGACCAGACUCCUACGGGAGGCAGCAGUGAGGAAUAUUGGUCAAUGGACGCAAGUCUGAACCAGCCAUGCCGCGUGCAGGAUGACGGUCCUAUGGAUUGUAAACUGCUUUUGUACGAGAAGAAACAUUCCGACGUGUCGGAACUUGACGGUAUCGUAAGAAUAAGGAUCGGCUAACUCCGUGCCAGCAGCCGCGGUAAUACGGAGGAUCCAAGCGUUAUCCGGAAUCAUUGGGUUUAGAGGGUCCGUAGGCGGUUUAGUAAGUCAGUGGUGAAAACCCAUCGCUC